ACGGAGGGGGCAAGCGUUAUUCGGAAUGAUUGGGCGUAAAGGGCGCGUAGGCGGUUUGGUAAGUCAGAUGUGAAAGCCCCGGGCUCAACCUGGGAAGUGCAUUUGAUACUGUCAGGCUUGAGUCUAGGAGAGGGGAGUGGAAUUCCAGGUGUAGCGGUGAAAUGCGUAGAGAUCUGGAGGAACACCGGUGGCGAAGGCGGCUUCCUGGACGAAGACUGACGCUGAGGCGCGAAAGCGUGGGGAGCAAACAG
RNAcentral lists this ribosomal RNA (251 nucleotides) under uncultured prokaryote. Its description in RNAcentral is "partial 16S rRNA". It matches the Rfam family "Bacterial small subunit ribosomal RNA", at positions 525 to 775 of the family's 1533-position model. The record is from RNAcentral.